UCCAACGGUUGCACCGGCUAAACCACUGGUUCCCAAAGUUACAACUCCAACAGCUGCACCUGUGAAACCAAUAGUUCCAAAAACUACAACUCCAACAUCUGCUCCUUUGAAACCACCAGUUCCGAAAGCUCCCGCACCAAAACCUUCUCCUGUGAAACCACCAGUUCCAAAAUCAAAACCUCCAACAACUGCUCCUGUCAAAUCACCAGUUCCGGAUCCUCCAAAACUCGCUCCUGUAAAGUUGCCAGUCCCAAAGGUUACACCGGCAUUAAGCCCAAAAACCCCAUCCCCUAAAAUUCAACCACCACCACAUCCACCCAAAAAAGCACCUGUUUCUCUACCACCAUUAUCUAUACCACCUGUUUCACUUCCACCAUUACCAUUACCACCAGCUUCUAAACCACCAAAGGUAUCCCCAGCACCUGCAAAGGUUCCAAAAGCACCAGCACCGGCCAAAGAAGCACCAGCACCAGCACCUACACACAAAAAGAAAGCACCAGCACCCGCACCAGACAAAGAAACACCGGCACCAGCACCUACACACAAAAAGAAGAAAGCACCAAAAUCAUCACCUGUUCCUUCCCCAGCAAUUCUCCCACCAUCACCUGCACCAACACCUGCAAUAGACACACCAUCAUCAGCAC
RNAcentral lists this long non-coding RNA (644 nucleotides) under Medicago truncatula (barrel medic). RNAcentral describes it as "long non-coding RNA (MTRU_LNC006403)". The record is from RNAcentral. Lineage: Eukaryota; Viridiplantae; Streptophyta; Magnoliopsida; Fabales; Fabaceae.